GUCUAUAGCCAUAUCACCCUGAAUGUGCCCCAUAUUUAUUGUCUGAUGGCAGAAGCUAAGCAGAGUUGGGCCUGGUUAGUUCUUGGAUGGGAGAAUUACAUGAAAAAGGCAUGUGGAGACA
This 121-nucleotide ribosomal RNA is filed under the name Microtus ochrogaster (prairie vole). Lineage: Eukaryota; Metazoa; Chordata; Mammalia; Rodentia; Cricetidae. The record is from RNAcentral.